RNAcentral lists this ribosomal RNA (1586 nucleotides) under metagenome. RNAcentral describes it as "bacterial LSU rRNA". It matches the Rfam family "Bacterial large subunit ribosomal RNA", at positions 1303 to 2925 of the family's 2925-position model. The record is from RNAcentral.
UGAGUAGCGAGAGUAAGGUGAGAAUCCUUACGGCCGAAUAUCCAAGGUUUCCAGAGUAAAGCUGAUCUGCCCUGGGGAAGUCGGGACCUAAGGCGAGGCCGAGAGGCGUAGCCGAUGGACAACAGGUUGAGAUUCCUGUACUACAGUAUGACAGAACUGUGGGGACGCAGAAGGAGAGCACUACCUGGAAUGGAAUCCAGGGGCAAGCACAGGAGGGGUACGGCUGGAAAAACCGCCGUGCAACCCAAAGGUGUGACGCAUACCGAACUAAAGUAGGGAAAUGUGUGAGCCGGCUGCCGAGAAAAGCCGCUAUUGUUUGUACUGUACCCGUACCGUAAACCGACACAGGUGGAUGAGGAGAGAAUCCUAAGGCCGACGGAAGAAGCAUUGCUAAGGAACUCGGCAAAAUGACCCUGUAACUUCGGGAGAAAGGGUGCCUCGAAAGAGGCCGCAGAGAAUAGGCCCAAGCAACUGUUUAGCAAAAACACAGGUCUAUGCAAAACCGCAAGGUGAAGUAUAUGGGCUGACGCCUGCCCGGUGCUGGAAGGUUAAGGGGAGAUGUCAGGAGACGAAGCAUCGAACUUAAGCCCCAGUAAACGGCGGCCGUAACGAUAACGGUCCUAAGGUAGCGAAAUUCCUUGUCGGGUAAGUUCCGACCCGCACGAAAGGCGUAAUGAUUUGGGCGCUGUCUCGGCAAUGCAUCCGGUGAAAUUGAAGUGCCAGUGAAGAUGCUGGCUACCCGCGCCAGGACGGAAAGACCCCAUGGAGCUUUACCCCAGCUUGAUACUGGGAUUCGGUAUUGUAUGUACAGGAUAGGUGGGAGGCUGAGAAAUGGUGACGCCAGUCGCCAUGGAGCCGCUGCUGGGAUACCACCCUUGCAGUACUGGAUUUCUAACAGCAGCCGUGAUCCGGCUGGGGGACAAUGUCAGGUGGGGAGUUUGACUGGGGCGGUCGCCUCCGAAAGGGUAUCGGAGGCGCUCAAAGGUUCCCUCAGAAUGGUCGGAAACCAUUCGAAGAGUGCAAAGGCAGAAGGGAGCUUGACUGCGACACCGACGGGUGGGGCAGGUACGAAAGUAGGACUUAGUGAUCCGGUGGUAUUAAGUGGGAAUGCCAUCGCUCAACGGAUAAAAGCUACCCUGGAUAACAGGCUUAUCACUCCCAAGAGUUCACAUCGACGGAGUGGUUUGGCACCUGAUGUCGGCUCAUCGCAUCCUGGGGCUGUAGUAGGUCCCAAGGGUUGGGCUGUUCGCCCAUUAAAGCGGUACGCGAGCUGGGUUCAGAACGUCGUGAGUCAGUUCGGUCCCUAUCCGGCGUGGGCGUAGGAUAUUUGAGAGGAGCUGACCUUAGUACGAGAGGACCGGGUUGGACUGACCUCUGGUGCACCGGUUGUCAUGCCAAUGGCACAGCCGGGUAGCCAAGUCGGGAAGGGAUAAACGCUGAAGGCAUCUAAGCGUGAAGCCCCCCUCAAGAUGAGAUAUCCCCCGCAUAAGCGGUAAGACCCCUUGAAGACGACGAGGUAGAUAGGGCAGAGGUGGAAGUGCAGUAAUGUAUGGAGCUGACUGCUACUAAUAGGUCGAAGGCUUAAC